CCGGGCUGGACAUGCAUCCUGGCCUUCUGUCCUAGACUGAUGACAUUCUUUUCCCACAGACUCUCCAGAUCAACAUCGGCGUAUUUCACCUGUUCUUGGGCGCCCUGUGGUACCAUAUCCAAAUGACCCAGUUUGUGGAUAUUUAUCGAAGUUACAAAACUUUUAUUUUGGAUGCAAAAUAUCCAUUAAUUUCAGCGUUUAUUCACAUCGUUUCAGGAACCGUUGCCAUAAUCGCAGAGAAAAAUCGUCGGCGUUCUCUGGCAAAGAUCACAGUGGGGCUGAACAUCAUUGGCAUCAUUUAUUCCAUCUAUGGACUGAUCACACUGGUCAUUGAGUUUCUUAGUUAUGACUCUAUUUCCAUACAACAUAGUUGGCCUGAGAGGUCUGGUAAGAUACUUUCAGAUUAUCUGUUCGUCUACACCACCCUCUAUGUCUUCGUUUCAUGGAUCGUCCUCAAAUGGAACCACAAAGCCAUCUUUUACUCCCCGAACUGAGGGAGUGUUUCCUUCCUCUCCUGCAUGUAAGGUUGUGGGGAGGGCAGGGGGAUAGAAGCGGUAAGGCUCCUUCCUCUGGGGCUCACGCAGUGUCGGGGGAGAAGGAAGAUGGGAUUGGUGCUCUACCAGAGUUCUGUCAAAGACGAG
Molecule: long non-coding RNA, 641 nt
Filed under: Vombatus ursinus (common wombat)
Lineage: Eukaryota; Metazoa; Chordata; Mammalia; Diprotodontia; Vombatidae
Description: lncRNA (ENSVURG00010003551.1)
Source: RNAcentral